AUUGCGAUGGCAGAAAUAUGCAUUAGAUUUAAGCUCUAAAAAUGGGUAGAUGCCCUCGUGAUU
RNAcentral lists this transfer RNA (63 nucleotides) under Patella ferruginea. Its description in RNAcentral is "tRNA-Leu". The record is from RNAcentral. Lineage: Eukaryota; Metazoa; Mollusca; Gastropoda; Patellidae.